GUAUUUCAAUAUAGAGAUGCUCUGGUGUGGUUAACUUUAUGACGAUGGAGUUCUCAGAUGCUUGCAGACACAGGUAGACUCACCACCAAGGCAGCAGUUGUAAUACAAGCAUGUUGGACUGGCAACCAAAUACCAUGAGCCACAUGGCCAUCGAUAAUGCGAUUUUCCAAAAUGGCAAACAGCUUUUGGUAAAGUUCUAGACCAAAAAGGCUUAUUUACCUCUAGUUUACACAGUGGUUGAAUUCCUGUAAAAUUUAGUAUGUAUUAACACCCUGUAGAAUAUAUUUGAAAUGCGUGAUUUGGAAUUUAAGUAGAGAGCUUGUGUAAAAUACGGAUUCCUAGUUCUCGACUCCAGAGAGUUUUGACUCAGAAAGUCUGGAUAGGACCAAGAAUCUACAUCAACCUCCUGGUAGUUAUUCUGAUUCAGGCAUUCUGUUUUCUAAACAAAUUAGGGCUGGGGUGCGGGGGUGAGUUCUAGAGAGGGAACCUUAAACAUAAACUAGGAACCGGAAACUCUGUUUGGUCAUUCGUAUGUAGUGUAAUGUACUGGGGCAAAAAUAAGGAAUUUAGAAUAGGAAUAUCUCAGUUCCAGACCUAAGUUUGCUACUUAUAAUUGCCUGAGUUGGUACAAUUUUUUUGUAUCUAUUUCUUCAUCUAUAAAAGUGGUUAUUAUUACCUGCAGAUUAUUAUUACCUGCAGUGUGGAGGUGUGGAGGGAUGGGGUUGUGGUUUCUGAGAGCCUUUGAAACUGGCUUGCUUUAUGAUUAUUAAAACUCUUGAUAUAUGGCAAUUUGUAAAAUGAAAUAUAUUAACCAGGCUAAUUGCUUAUUAUGAUGACUCUAUUAUUCACACUUUCCGAAAAUCUAAAUGGGGUGCUGUCACUUUUCCAAAAGCCCACUGUUUGAAACCAAAGAAAGCAAGCCACAAAGAAAUCUGGCCCGCUAACCUCUCCACUUAUCAAACAAACGGAGGGACACCAGCUGCUAAUCCGGUUGCACGGGUGUGGCCGAGUCACUUCACUUUCACUGGCUUGGUUUACUUAGACUUUCAGCUCCAUGUGACUCAGUUACUCCUCCGUUCCUCUGCCUCCUUCUUCUCACACCUGCCACCAUCCUCUCUACCUUUCUGAUGACUUGCUCUGCUUUACUACCGCUUCACGCACUAUGCGUUCUCAUCCCAGGUUUCAGACACCAGCUUCUCGGCCGCCGCUUUGGCUUCUUCCCUUUGUUUGGUGAUCUCUGGCAAUCCUCCCGCAACGUCUGGGCUCCUCCCCAAAAUGGGGGGAGGGGACUCUCGUUUGCAGCCCGUGCGGGGGCCCACACUGUGCAUCCCAGCCCCCCUGCACCUCCUCGCAUCCCCGCGACCUGCUCUCACCUCCCGGCAUCCCGCCCCUACCUCCGCCCUCAGCCCGGAGCUCCGAGGCUCCCGAGCCGCAGGUUGAAUAAGGUGGUGAAGGUGCCGGGUUCCUCGCCACCCAGUUCAGCCCCGCAGCGCAUCGCCAGGGUCCCCUCUUCAGACAGUGCGCUCCGGCCGCCUGAGGCCGAAGCCUGCUCUUCCUCCUUAGCCCGGGAUGCCCACCAAGGGCUGGGUCGGUCGCCGCUGAGUCUGGAGCCAGGCGCCACCCACGUGUCCGAGAGCGCCGCGCCCGGCCAGCGCAAACCUCUCUACAGCCACAAAAUUCAUGCACCUGGGACUUGCCAGGGCUCCCACGCGGAUGCCCACGGUGGCGCCAGCUGGAGAAUGGAUUGCGACUCCGAGAUGCACGUGAAAAUGUGCAAGAAGAUCGCCCAGCUCACUAAGGUGAUCUAUGCCCUGAACACACGCCAGGAUGAGGCGAAGGCCAGCAUGGAGGCGCUGCGCGAAGCCCACCAGGAGGCGCUCCAGACCGCGGUGGCGGAGACCGAGGCCAGGCUCCUGCAGGAACAGGGCCACGCCGACGAGGAGGCCCUGCUGCAGCGCAUUCAGGCCCUGGAGAGCGCGCUGGAGCUGCAGAAGAGGCUGACGCAGGAGGCGCUGGCCCACUCGGCCACGUGCAGGCUGGAGACCAAAGAGAGGGAGCUGAGAGUGGAGGCGGAGCACGCCGAGCGGGUCCUCACCCUGUCCAAGGAGAUGCUGGAGCUCAAGGCUGACUACGAGAAGAGGCUCCAGCACCUGAUGAGCCACGAGGCGCCGCGGUGGGGCUCGCUGUCCCAGGAGAGCCCCGACCCCAAGGCAGAGCCGGGCUCUGGCCCCGAGAUGCGGGAGGUCCUGCUGGAGGUGGAGCGGCUGCGCGUGGAGAACCAGCAGCUGAGCAAGGACUAUGCCCGGAAGGCUGAGGAGCUGCAGGCCACCUACGAGCGGGAGAACGAGGCCAUCCGGCAGGCCAUGCAGCAGUCAGUGAGCGAGGCCCUGUGGCAGUGGCAAGAGAAGGAGACCGACCUCCGCAAGAACUUCCAGGUCCAGGAGUCGGCCCUGCAGGCCCAGGUCAGGAAGCUGGAAGGGGAUCUGGAGCACAGGGGCCGCAAGAUAAGUGACCUGAAGAAGUACGCCCAGAAGCUUAAGGAGAGGAUUCAGGACCUGGAUGUGCAGCUCAAGGAGGCUCGACAGGAGAAUUUGGAGUUGAAAAGCACUGCGAAAAAACUUGGGGAGAAGCUGGCCGUCGCCAAAGACAGACUGAUGCUGCAGGGGAGCCACGGCACACAGAAACCAGGUGACGUGAAGACAGAGCGAGUUUCAGAGAAUGAAGUCCUAGAGAAAGCAAGUGACUCGGAAACCCAGAGUCUCCAUCCUCAGCAGGAUCAGAACUUCCCCAAGGAGAGUCCAGGCAUGAAUGGAGGCACAGAUGCACAGACCAAGAAAGAGGCGAGUGUGGAGAUGGAGUACAUAAAGCAACAAUAUGAAGAAGACCUUCGUCAAAUCAAACACCGGACGGAGGAGGAGAAGAAACACCUCAAAGACCAGCUGCUGAAGCGACUGGAUGACGCGGUGAAGAAGCACACCGUGGAGAUCGAAGCAGUUCACUCGUCGAUGGAGGCGGAGAGGAAGAGGCUGCAGACGGAAGUAGAAGCACAGUUGGAGGAAGUGAAGAAGAAAUCAGAAAACGAAAUAAAGCAGCUAGAAGAGGAGAAAGCGGCCUUGCAAGUGAAGCUGCAGAAUUCUCUGCUCGAGGUUUUAAGGCUGGAAGAAUGUAUCCAUCAGAGCAAGGUGUGUCCCCGCCCAGAUGAGGGACAGGGCCUGCACUGCCAGCACGGCAGCAUCGAAGAGACCCAGGAUCCAUGCUUGAAGCUCAAUGAACCUUCUCAGACCCUGCCCAGAGAAGAGUGUCAAGAUAAGUUAGCAGCUGAAGAAGGGACCAGCAGCGGUGAAGAAGAAAGGAUUAAAGUGCCCCUCGAGGAAGGGGGUGACCUGAAGUCUCCGCUGGGGUCUUUGCUGAAGGAGAAGACACCUGAAAUCCAGCGUCUGCAGGAAGAGUGGCAGAGUCAAAAGGCCAGACUGCAAGCCCAGGUCUCGCAGAUGCAGCAGGCUCUGGAGCAGUGCGCCAGCCAGUACCAGGACGACCUGCGGGAGCUGCAGCAGCUCUCCGACCACGAGAGGGAGAAGCUGCAGCGCGAGCUCCGGGAGACCAGAGAGCAGAACCAGGCCGUGAAGGCCCAGCUCCAGGCCUCCCACCAGAGGGCCCUCCGCGUGCUGGAGAAGGCCAAAAAUCAAGAGCUCAAGGCCACAGAGGAGCGCCUGAAGAAGGAAUCCAGCCACAGCCUCCAGAUGCAGCACCAGGCGCACCGGCUGGAGCUCCAGGCCUUGGAGGAAAAGGCCCAGCAAGAGCUCCAGGGGGAGCAGGAGAGGAUGCAGGCUCAGCAGGCUCUGCUGCUAGAGUCCCUCAGGCAGGAGCUGUGGGAGCAACGGGCUGCCUGCUCUGAGCACCAGAAGGACUUGGAGGUGCUGCAGGCUGAGCUGAGGGCUCUGGGCAGCUCGGGCAGGCGGCAGGCGACCGCCCAGUGUCCAGGGGACAGCGAGGACCACACCAGCACCGCAGAGGAUGGAGGCGGUCCGGGCCCAGCGACCUCCGCAGCGGGCGUCCCUGAGCAGAGUCCCGGCGAGGGAUGCGGCCUCUGGGAGGAGAACUCGCAGCUCAAGGACACGGUGCGGCGGCUGCGGGCCGAGGUGGAACAGCACCAGCAGGAGGCGCUGCAGCUCCGCGACCAGCGCAGGCUGCUGGAGGAGGACCAGCAAGCCCAGCGGGCCCGGGAGGUGGAGAUGCUACACCAGGAGCACCGGAAGGAGAUGCAGGCCGUGGUGGCAGAUUUCAGCAGCACUCAAGCCCGGCUCCAGGCCCGGCUGGCUGCCCUGGAAACCGAGCUGAAAGAUUCCGGGGAGAAGCCAGGGAAGGGGGCGUCCAGGCCCGAGGACCUUCAGCUCAUUGGCCGUCUGCAGACCCGCCUGAAGGAGAGAGAGGACAUCAUCAAGCAGCUCACGGAGGAGAGAAGAUUUCACUAUGCAGCGUUCCCCAGCGCAGUGUCCCAUCGGAAUCGGUCCUUCUCUUUCAAUCCUCACCCGGGGUAUUUGACUCCGUCCAUGAAAAAAAAGAAGAUGGAGGAAGUGCCCAGCCGAGUGGUCAGUGUGCCGAACCUCGCCUCCUAUGCCAAGAACUUUCUGAGUGGUGAUCUGAGCUCCAGGAUCAAUGCCCCUCCAAUAACUAAGUCACCCAGCUUGGACCCGAGCCCCAGCGGAGGUCGGCCUUACAAACCCACGCAGUCUCUAGAUGUGAAAACUGCCACAAGGACACAAGAUGGUGACACAGCCCAACCCAAAGAAGUCCAGCAGAAACAGGGCUCUGCCCACCAGGAAUGGUUCACGAAGUAUUUUUCUUUCUAAAUUGAUCCUUAGGAUCCAUCCCAAAGAGGACAUUUGAAAAACAUUUCUUUUAAAACAGACUAUGGAGAGUUACUACUCUUGUUUGUUGAAACAUUUACCCACCACUGUGCAACUCCUGAUGACUAGCAAAGUGGGCUACACUUCAUACUACUGCCCUUAACUCAGCGUAAUACCUGCUGCAGAAAUAGACUUGUGUUGAGACGCUACAUAUUUUGACUCCUUUCUUGUUACAGGACAUAUUUCUUGGGCAUUGAAGUAAAGCAUCAGUGGAUACACAUUUAAGUUUUUUGUUUGAUAUGACCAAAUUACUGUCCAGAAAGUUUCUAGCAAUUUACACCUCCGCCAGCAGUGAACAAAAUUUUCUGACUCUGGAUAAUACCGACGAGCUCAAUUUGAUAGAUAAAAUAUUCUCAUUUUUGUUUGCAUAUUUAUCAAUCUCUCAAGAGCAGAGUGGCCUAGAGAUGAUGGUGAUAGCUUGGAGGGAACCGCAGAGAGGAAGAGAAAUGAACAAUUCAGAACUGAGUUGGGAAGAAGGAACAAGAGGAUUUGAUGAGAAAUCUCUUGAGGUUAUAUUAUGGCAGAGGGAACAAGAGUUAACACAUCCCUAGGGCAAGACUGGAAAGGAAUAUUGCUGUGAAUUGUUCCUUAACCGGGGCAUAAAAGAACAAAUUCACCCCAUCAGUGGCCGCAUACCGUGGACCUGAGCCCUUACUAACCGCUCUAGCAUUGAUGCCACAUCCAACGUAGCAGUUGCGAUUGAGGCUACUUGGUCUGUACUUAAUCUCCGGGCAAGUUAAAUGGAGCUACAACCUUCAGAUUUCCGGGGGUGAUCCCCGGCGUCAUCCCCAGGUGCAGUACUGGGGUUGAUCUACUAGCUCCUCGGCGGUUUGCUCGCCCCUUGCAGGAGAUACUCAAAGAUGGCCAGGCCUCUGACUAUCUAGUAAGAAGUUAGUUUCUCAUUAUCUCACCACUGGAAGUCCAGAUAGUAUGGUGAUAACCAGCUGACUCACUGUUCUCGUGUGCGGCGUCCUCCCUCAUCUUCCCAGUGUCUGAGUCCUUGCACUAGCAAUGUUCCCCUCUACGAGGACACUUCCUGGAACACCACUGCUGGAAUCUUCCGCAACUGGGCCACCCUCCUUGUGCCAGUGACUGUCUGUGCCUCACAUACCACUCAGAAUGGGUGCCAGUUGGACAGUGAGCCAGUCCCCGAACCGCAUCCUACUGUCUGCCGUUUCAGACCACGUCCCUAACACCCACGUCGUUCAGGUUCUCUGGAAGCAUACCCCAAGACACAAUUAGAAGUGCAAGACAUUUAUUAGGGAUCUCGAUGCCUAAGACCAGAGACCACCAGAAACGCACCUGUAGUUGAAUAAGCAGUGUCUCUCACCUGCUGCAGAGGGAGAAUGCUCAUCAUGGGGACUUCUCAGCGGUGUUAGCACCAAUUUUAAGAUUCUGGCGUUGGUUGUGUGAUCUCAAGGAGAGUCUAAGGAGGCAGGGAUUCACCCAAGGGUGGAUGCUGUCAGAAAGUGAGGACAGUCCUCUAACUGGAUGUCUUAAUCUUUUCUAGAAGGGCAGAUUAGAGCAAGGAUGAAGCCGUAAAUGGUUAAAAAAAAAAGUAAUGGUUACUCACUUUAGCCAGGAAGAUGUUUGGUUAUUUUGGGGAUGGCACAGUGACCUCGUUUUUUUCUUUUUCCCUGUGCGUAGACAAAAUUAUGAAGUGGUUUUCUUGGUCCUACUUUAUCAUGGUCUCAGAGCAACUUUGUCCAAGGUUGGUAUUCUGAAACAGUUUCUGUCCAGCACGAGAGUAGGAUGGCCACGCAGUGCUAGGCCAGCGUCUGGAUGUUAGGGACAGGUCCCCUCCCCCUUCUUAGAGGAAACACCUGCAUAAGAUAAAGGGGAGAGGAAGCGGAGAUGGGAGGGACCAUGGGACGAGGACGGAGGGUUGACAACCGAGAAGGGGGCCAAGGAGGAUUUGGGAAAGGACAGCUCUGAGAUCUGGCAGGGCUGACGGUGCUCCAGAGCAGACUGCCCACUAAGGUCCUGUGCUGGGCAGAAGUGACCUGGCCCCGGUGACCGCACUGCACGUGGUCACUCCCAGAAAGCACAUAGCCUUUGCUGGAACUCUGCGGCAGGUCCGCCAAGGCGAGAACGUUGGCAACUGCAUCCGCUCUCUCUAAAGGACUGAGCAGCACUCCUCCGUGGCCUCCACAGGCCCAGGCCCCAGCCCACAGGAAUGUCAACAAUUAGAGGCUGGGUAGAAGAGGAAACAGAAAAGGGGAGAAGUGUUAACGAGAAUGAGUUCAAGUAAAGAAAAUAAA
RNA transcript from Pteropus alecto (black flying fox), 7168 nucleotides. It is a transcript of the gene named family with sequence similarity 184 member B, with no coding region annotated. The transcript has 21 exons. NCBI's taxonomy places the organism in Eukaryota, Metazoa, Chordata, Mammalia, Chiroptera, Pteropodidae. The record is from RefSeq and is a predicted model, not a curated record.